GAGAACCCUCGUGUCCUCUUGGAGGGAAUGCAGAUUGGUGCAACCACUGUGGAAAGCAGUAUGAUGCUUCCUCCAAAGUUAAAAAUACAGCUGCCUUAUGACCUAACAUUUCCACUUCUGAGAAUAUAUCUGCAGAAACCUGAAACACUGAUCUGAAAGGGUAUAUGCACCCCUAUGUUCAUUGUGGCAUUAUUUACAACAGCGAAGAUUUCACAGCAGCCCAAGUACCCAGCAGCAGAUAAGCGGAGACAAAGCUCUGGUACAUUAUACACAACAGAAUACUACUCACCCGCACACCCAAAAAGGAAAUCUUAUCUUUUGGAACAGCAUGGAUGGAGCUGAAAAGUAACACGUUGUGACACAUGCUACAACCUGGAUGCACCCUGAAAACAUGACGCUCAGGGAAAUAAGCCAAUCACAGAAAGACAAAUACUGUGUGAUCACUCUCGCAAGAGGUCCCUGGAGCCAUCAGAGUCAUAGAGACACAGGAACGCUGGGCCAGGGUCCUGUCGACAGAGCAGAGUCACUUCUCGGUGUUUUGGUUGGGUCCCAGGCACACUGCCAAGGAGAGACGCUACCCCAGGACAAGGAUGAAGGAAGGCAGCAUUGUCAUUGGAAGCCCGUGCCUUUUAAUCAUCUACAGAUCGCAACUGCAGAAACAACACUUAUGUUCUGUUAAAGAGAUGGCUCCAAUUUACCUGUCAACUUGACUGGGAGAUGAAAAAAGUAAUUCUGCGCCUGCGCAGCCAGCCAACUCAGUCAUCUUCUUCAGGAAGAACAUCGAGAGAGAACAAUAAAAUAAUGUUUUCCCGGGAAAGCAUCCUGUUAUAUGAAGCUUCCACACAGCUCAUGGGGAAAGAGGAGUCUAAGAUUAUCAGCAAAC
This is a long non-coding RNA of Eptesicus fuscus (big brown bat), 883 nucleotides long. RefSeq lists it as uncharacterized. The transcript is spliced from 6 exons. Lineage: Eukaryota; Metazoa; Chordata; Mammalia; Chiroptera; Vespertilionidae. The record is from RefSeq and is a predicted model, not a curated record.